Molecule: ribosomal RNA, 431 nt
Filed under: uncultured bacterium
Lineage: Bacteria
Description: bacterial SSU rRNA
Rfam family: Bacterial small subunit ribosomal RNA
Source: RNAcentral
GGGCCCGCACAAGCGGUGGAGUAUGUGGUUUAAUCCGAUGCAACGCGAAGAACCUUACCAGGGUUUGACAUCCUGCGAAUCUCUUGGAAACAGGAGAGUGCCUUCGGGAACGCAGUGACAGGUGGUGCAUGGCUGUCGUCAGCUCGUGUCGUGAGAUGUUGGGUUAAGUCCCGCAACGAGCGCAACCCACGUCUUUAGUUGCCAGCAUUAAGUUGGGGACUCUAACGAUACUGCCAGUGAUAAGCUGGAGGAAGGCGGGGAUGACGUCAAGUCAUCAUGCCCCUUAUGGGCUGGGCUACACACGUGCUACAAUGGUGGUGACAGUGGGCAGCGACUUCGCGAGGAGGAGCAAAUCCCUAAAAACCAUCUCAGUUCAGAUCGUAGGCUGCAACUCGCCUACGUGAAGGCGGAAUCGCUAGUAAUCGCAGGUC